UACGUAGGGUGCAAGCGUUAAUCAGAAUUACUGGGCGUAAAGCGUGCGCAGGCGGUUUUGUAAGUCUGACGUGAAAUCCCCGGGCUCAACCUGGGAAUUGCGUUGGAGACUGCAAGGCUUGAAUCUGGCAGAGGGGGGUAGAAUUCCACGUGUAGCAGUGAAAUGCGUAGAGAUGUGGAGGAACACCGAUGGCGAAGGCAGCCCCCUGGGUCAAGAUUGACGCUCAUGCACGAAAGCGUGGGGAGCAAACAGG
Molecule: ribosomal RNA, 253 nt
Filed under: uncultured bacterium
Lineage: Bacteria
Description: partial 16S ribosomal RNA
Rfam family: Bacterial small subunit ribosomal RNA
Source: RNAcentral